Molecule: small nucleolar RNA, 109 nt
Filed under: Cephalotus follicularis
Lineage: Eukaryota; Viridiplantae; Streptophyta; Magnoliopsida; Oxalidales; Cephalotaceae
Description: Small nucleolar RNA snoR109
Rfam family: Small nucleolar RNA snoR109
Source: Rfam by way of RNAcentral
UGGCUGUAGCUAUAUCAAUAAUCGUUUGAGGAGUUUACUGGCCGGUGGUUGUUACUGAUUUCUUUUGAAAUCUUCAUCGACUAAUCUGCUUACCGAAUUUCUCACAUCU